Molecule: RNA transcript, 2034 nt
Organism: Microtus oregoni (creeping vole)
Lineage: Eukaryota; Metazoa; Chordata; Mammalia; Rodentia; Cricetidae
Gene: CUNH1orf74
Gene name: chromosome unknown C1orf74 homolog
Exons: 3
Source: RefSeq, a predicted model, not a curated record
AUAAAACAAAAUAAAAAGAAGCUUUAUAGCAUUGCUCACAGAAGAGGCAUCUCCACUACAUUGCUGACUAAAUAGUUGCUCGUCCCGGAACUACCUCUCACUUCCGCCCGGCAGCCCAGCCGGCUUCAGUUCUACCGGAAGGGGUUUGUCUAGGGUGACUGUACUUCCUAUUCUGUUCCUUUCCACGGUCUCGUCAAUGGUUCCGGCUUGCGUUCGUGUUCAGAAUGACGUCGCAGAAGGGCGGAGAAGGGUGGUGUGUGCUCGUGCGUCAGACUGUCUUUGCUGGGGGUUCUUCUCAUAACCGUGGAGCUUUCGCGGUUUUGUGUGGGGCGUGGGACGGCCAGUUACCUUCCUGGCCGCUGGCAGGGAGCCGGAAGGGCUUCCUGCGACCCCGCACCUGUAGCGGAAGUGCAAGCCUUGAGUAAGGCCGCUGCCUUACGCAACUAGUCUCUAAUCUCACUCGCUGGUACGUGUGGUGGAGGGAACGUGUCUGCCCAGAAGGGAAGGCGGGCGCAGUCGUGUUAAACUGUGGCCCUGCCCCAGUUCUAGCCGCUUCCACUUACCUGUGUGUCUAAGGGCGAGGCGGUGGUUACUCCGCAUUCUUGCUUAUGCUGGUUUGAUCAGGCUGCUGUGAGAAUUUUUAGUGGAAGAAAGGGGGAGUUGGAAAGCUGACGUUUGGAGCCCAGAGCUCUGUGUCUGAAGGGCAGUUUGGGGAGAAAUGGUGGUAACUUUUACCAGAGACUGACCCAGAUGCCUUAAGGUUCGAAUCCCAAAGCGUAAACUGCACCAGGUAAAAGUUAGAGUCAAAGCCAGAGGCAAUAUAAAUGUGGCUAGAAGACCAGAAGCACCGUUUCAAGUCUGCCAGAGAAAUGGAGUGCAGCACUGGUGACCCUGUCUUGAUAGUGUUAAUGAUUUCCCCCUAACCACAUUGUUCCUAGGCUCUUCCUUAAGUGUUGGAGCCUGGACUGUGACCUAGGGACGGGAACCGUGGCUAGCUAAGGAGGCCGAGCUUCACGUAACUUCCAGAUCUCAUGUCAACACCAAGCCCGCAGCUGCUCGUGGCAGCCGCUCGGCAGACCCUGGGUACCGGAAAGAGAAAGGGCCCACCUCGAGCUGUCUGUCUUCACCUAGCAGGAGAGGUGCUGGCCGUGGCUCGCGGGCUGAAGCCUGCUGUUCUCUAUGAUUGCAACUCUGCUGGAGUGUUGGCGCUCCAGAGCUAUCUGGAGGAGCUGCAGAGGCUGGGCUUCCUGACAUUGGGACUUCACAUUCUUGAGAUUGGAGAGAAUAAUCUCAUUGUCAGUCCUGAGCAUGCCUGCCAGCAUCUGGAGCAGGUACUGCUUGGUACCACAGCCAUAGUGGAUGUUUCCUGCUCCCAGCCUCAUCCUUCUGUCUGUUCAUUGGACCAGCUCCAGAACUUGAAAUCUCUCAUAGCUGAGAUCAUCACACAUUUUCAAGGACUGCAGAAGCAUGUGUCUCCGGGAGUCUCCUCCAGCAAGUUGCCUUCCUCAUCUUGGAAUCUCUGCACUGUGUUUGGGAUACUCCUGGGCUAUCCUGUCUCUUACACAUUUCAUCUGGACCACGGAGGUGGCAACUGCUUAGCCAUGACCCCCUUGCGGGUGUUCACCGUCCAGAUUUCAUGGCUGCCUGCUCAGCCUCCACUUUUGCUCUACUCCUUCAGUGUUCCAGAGAGUUUGUUCCCAGCCCUGAGGAACUUUCUGAGCACCUGGGAGAAGGAGCUCAGAACCCGAUUUAGGACUCAGAAUGACUUUGGCGACCUCAGCAUUUCCUCUGAGAUAGUCACACUGCCUGCCGUGGCCCUCUGACUUAUCUCUGCCCAUUGAGAAGGCCGGAAGGCUGCAGAGAGCUGCAGUACUCCAGGAUGGAACCACAUUUGGAGAGAUACAGUCAUGAACCUAUAAGUGGUUUUCACGUUUCUUUAUCUGGCUUCUCCACCCUACUCCUGUGGGACUCUUGAGGAGCCUUUCUCCAGUCCUGGAUACUGUGGCUCCUGUCAUUGGCGAACAGUUCCAACAC